UCUGCAUGCAGGUGCAAAGGACCCCUUUAAAGGAAAGACCCCGCCCAUUUACCCUCUCUUUCUGGCUCUCCUCCUUCCAGCUCUCUUUCUCUUUCUCUAUCCCGCUCUUUCCCUGGGGCAGUCAAGGCUUUUUUUCCUGUCUCCCUCUUCUCUUCUGUCCUCUGUCUCUGUGUCUCUUUACCUCUGUUCUCUCCCCUUCCCCCUCCCUUUUCCCUUUCUAAUAAAACUUCUCACUUAAGCUCUGUCUGUCUGGCUCGAUCACCCUUGCCUGCUGUGGAAUCCACCAAGGACCCCCCGAGCUUUAUCGUAACAACCUGUACCUGGCUCUUCCUGUAACUGCCACACGGUUCUUAGAGUUAGUGGCCAGGACUAUCUGCACACAGGAGGCUACCGUGACUCGUCCAAGGCCACAGAGCUAGUGAAAGAACCAGCAUUCCUACUGUCCCUGAAGCCUACUACCAUGAAGGGCAGAGGGUGUGGGUGCUGAAGGAAGACGCCAGCCCUUUGUGGAGAACCUUCCGGAAAGACCUGGGACCACCUGCUAGGAACACCCAUCUAUCCAGCAUCCGUGGAGCCAAGAUCCCUGUGACACCAACUCCUCCCUGAGGCUCCUGCAAGCCAGGAGGCUUUGUGUCCCGGCUAUGGGAAGACUCCUCUCUGUCAUUGCUGUCGCCUCUGGAGGGUCACCCUGCCGGGGAAAGCGCAUCUGGAGAAAAGUUUCCACCGGAUUUGAAAUAGUUUCAGUGGUGUGGAGGGGUGCUUUCUCCAGGAAUGUAUGCUUUUUCGUGCCCAUCCUUUUUCUCUGCUUUCAGGGGGGGGGGGUUUAAAACGUGGGACCUCCACUUUUUAAGAAAUCUGCUAGAGUUGUAUGAGCAUGGCUUCCCCUUUAAAGAGGCUGCCCCCACCCCAGAGUCUCAGCGUGGAAGACAGAGUCAUCCCCCAAGCAUGGACUCUUCAGAUGGAGGAGCUGGGAGCCCACUGCACCCCACCGCUCCAGCUGAGAAGCUCUGACCAUGGUCAUGGAUCCAGGGCAGGCAUCAAGUCACUCUGCCAGCCGGAGAGGUAGACAGCAACUUGUCACAAGGACUACACAAAGCCAGGCUGAGCCUUUCUCUUUCUCUGAUUAUCUACAGUCAAUUUCUUUUUCACCCUUCUCUGAGAAUUCCUGCACAUACCCCACAAGGAGUCCUGAGACGAAUAUGUGAUUUUCGUCCACUUGAGAUACUGAACUGGCCAAGGAAGGGAAAUGCUAGCCUUUUUUGUGCUAGCUCUGGGAUGAUGCUGGGGGGGGGGGAGGGAGGAGGAUGACUCUAAGGUGACUGACUCAUUGUGUCUAACACUUGUCUAGCUGAGACUUUCAUGCCAGCCAUGGUAUUUAACCUGCUUUUUUUAAUCCAGUCUUCAGCAGAGUGGCUGGCUACUUUAACUACACCAGGAAGCAGAUGCUGAGAGAGGUAACCGGGCUCUUUAUAAACAGUAGUAAGUGGUCAAGGUCACAUCCUGAGCUUGGUUACCUGACCUUAAGUCUUGUCCUGGUAUUUACACACCAAUACCACAGAGUACCGUCUCCCUACUUCUCCACCACAACUCCAGGGAGCUUCCCAUAUCUUGUAUGACCAGCCACAGCCACACAAGAUGGAAGGGGGUCAAUAUGCAUACAGGGGCAUGAGCCAUCGGCACUGCCAUGGCUCAGAAGUGACAACCCUCUCCAUGGGGCUGCCUGGAGUAGGACAGAAUGCAGGCCGAAUGAUAGACCCUUCCUAUUCUGCAUCCUGCAUCAAACCCGCCUGGCCGUGUCUCCCCUCCGGUGUCUUCAUAGCCAACUUCAUAGCCAGUUCCUCUGACACCUACAAGGCCACAGGGUGUUCCUGUAGGACACCUUAUUGCAUUGUUUCAUUAUGGGGGGGGGUCCUUCCAUUUCUUGGUUAGACAAUAAGAGGUUGGGUCAAUUGCGUAGCAGGUUUUCACUGUAUUGUUUUCAUCUGCAAAAUAGAAGCUGAACCUCCCUCCUCUGGAGUCAUACGAGGAAUCAAUGAUACUGUGCAUGUAUUGCAUUUUGCAUGCUAUUGACCAAUUAAUGACUAUUUCUCAGGACAGCAGAAACUUGAACACAUGUGUAAGUAGAUGGAACUAGAAGGAGGAGAAGUAACUACGGGGGAAACUGUUGGAGUAAGGAUACAGGGGAGAGGAUAGCCCUGAUUCUUUACACUCGGAUGGAAAGCAAGAGGGGUCAAAGCUCCACAACCAGUUCUCACUACUUGUGGUAGUUAACAUUCCAUAAAGGCAACCUGAAUGCUGAAUUAGUGACUUCUGAGUGCUCAGCUCCUGAGGGAAAUGCAAGGUUCAUUUUUCUUGUGAGUUUCUUUUUCCCAACACAUUGCUGUCAGACACACACACACACACACACACACACACACACACACACACACAGUUGACUCUCUAGCAUUGAAUUCAUGACCACCAUUACUGACCCUCCUCUGUGUGGCGCUUGUUUAGCCCAUGUAAUUUUCUCUGUAAGACACAUCA
Molecule: long non-coding RNA, 2526 nt
Organism: Mesocricetus auratus (golden hamster)
Lineage: Eukaryota; Metazoa; Chordata; Mammalia; Rodentia; Cricetidae
Exons: 3
Source: RefSeq, a predicted model, not a curated record